Long non-coding RNA from Eriocheir sinensis (Chinese mitten crab), 2713 nucleotides. RefSeq lists it as uncharacterized. The transcript has 3 exons. The record is from RefSeq and is a predicted model, not a curated record. Lineage: Eukaryota; Metazoa; Arthropoda; Malacostraca; Decapoda; Varunidae.
AAGCCCCAAAAAACACCUGAGAAGACCGCCAUCACAAUCAUUUCCUAUUAGAAUUUCACACAUUUUUCCUUUAUUUUCGUGUAUAAUGACGUUUUUUCUCUGCCAGGAUGAACCAGCUCGUCCCUGAAGCUUCCCGCGUCUCCCAGCAGCCGCCAUAUUUAUUAUUAACACGUUUAUCUAUAUUAAUUUACGUAUUUUUAAGGAAUUAUUACCCAUUGGAAGUUUGCUAUUGUCAGUGUAACGGAGAUUAGCAUUGAGGCCAAGCGCACCUAUACCAUCUCCCAUUAGCCGCCAUAUGCAUAAUUAACCCACUUAUCCAUAUUAUCUAUAUUAUUUUGAGGAAUUAUUGCCCAUACGAGUGAUUUUUGGGGGUUUUCAAGACAUGCUAGUAGACCCAAAAGGCGGUGUUACGGAUUUGAGCACUGGGGCCUUGCGCAGAUUAACCCCAUGUCGUUUUCUAUACCCCCAUGGCUGUUCCGAGUGGUUACGUCACCUGCGGCAGCCUUGAAAUUAGUUACAUAUACUUUUUACCUGAUUAAUUGUUGUCUCGUAAUAUCGGAAAUGGCUCUUGCGAUCUUGUGUUCUCAUUUCUUUAUUUGUGUUUCGGUUGCUGAGUUUGUGUUUCGUGAGGUUAGAUUAAGUGUCGACGCCCACUUGUCAACUCGAUAGGCCUGGUUUUGGUAAAGAUUGGCAAUUUUACGCAGUGGAUUUUAUCGCUAAUCUCUUUCGUAUUGAUUUCUGAGAGGUUUGCAGGCUAGUAAUAAGGUAUAUAAGGUUGAAUUAAAUGUUGACGCCCACCUGUCAACUCGAUAGGUCUGGUUUUAGUAAAGAUUGGCAAUUUUACACAGUGGGUUUUAUCGCUAAUCUAUUUCAUAUUGAUUCCUGAGAGGUUUGCAGGCUAGUAAUAAGGUAUAUAAGGUUGAAUUAAAUGUCGACGCCCACUUGUUAACUCGAUAGGCCUGGUUUUGGUAAAGAUUUGGAAUUUUACGCUGUGGAUUUUAUCGCUAAUCUCUUUCGUAUUGAUUCCUGAGAGGUUUGCAGGCUAGUAAUAAGGUAUAUAAGGUUGAAUUAAAUGUCGACGCCCACCUGUCAACUCGAUAGGCCUGGUUUUGGUAAAGAUUGGCAAUUUUACGCAGUGGAUUUUAUCGCUAAUCUCUUUCGUAUUGAUUCCUGAGAGGUUUGCAGGCUAGUAAUAAGGUAUAUAAGGUUGAAUUAAAUGUCGACGCCCACCUGUCAACUCGAUAGGCCUGGUUUUGGUAAAGAUUUGGAAUUUUACGCUGUGGAUUUUAUCUCUACUCUCUUUCAUAAUGAUUUCCAAGAGGUUUGAAGGCUAGUAGGAAGGUAUUUAUGUUAAGUUAAUAGUCGACGCCCACCUGUUAACUCGAUAGGUCUGGUUUCGGUAAAGGUUAGCAAUUUUACGCAGUGGAUUUUAUCUCUACUCUUUCAUAAUGAUUUCCGAGAUUAUUUGAAGGCUAGUAGGAAGGUAUUUAGGUUAAGUUAAUAGUCGAUGCCCACCUGUUAACUCGAUAGGCCUGGUUUUGGUAAAGAUUUGGAAUUUUACGCUGUGGAUUUUAUCUCUACUGUCUUUCAUAAUGAUUUCCGAGAUGUUUGAAGGCUAGUAGGAAGGUAUUUAGGUUAAGUUAAUAGUCGACGCCCACCUGUUAACUCGAUAGGUCUGGUUUCGGUAAAGGUUAGCAAUUUUACGCAGUGGAUUUUAUCUCUACUCUCUUUCGUAUUGAUUUCCGAGAGGUUUGCAGGCUAGUAGUGAAGUAUAUAAGGUUGUCAAUAAUCAACACCCACCUGUUAACUCGAUAGGUCUGAUUACGAUAAAGAAUGGCAAUUUUAUGCUGUGGAUUUUAUCUCUAGACUCUUUCGUAUUGAUUUCCGAGAGGUUGGAUGGCUACUUUGUUUUACCAAGGGAGGCAGGGCAAGGGAAGGAAAAAAAAAAAAGAGAAAGCCUGCUUGACGCUACUCAGAACUAAAAAAAAAAGCAUAAGGCCAGAGGAAAAGAACCAAUUACUGAUAGACAACCAAAAUAAACAGUAUAGAUAAACAACCAAAGUAGCAAUAAACAGAUACACAACCAAAGUAAAUAGACAGACAACCGAAGAAGCAAUAGACAGAUAGAAGAUGAUAAUGAUGAUAACUAUAAUAUAACUGAUAGUAUUAUAUUGACAAAGAGUUCCUUAUCUCAUUGUCUCUUCUCACACCUCUCUGCAUCCUCCCAUUGUUAUCACACACACACACACACACACACACACACGCUCACCCAGUACAAAAUCCACAUAUAUAAUUAAUAAUGUUGAUGCUAAAAACAGUAAAAUGAGAGGAACUUCUUAUUUCAUUCAAGUUAAUUAUGCUUUUCUUUCUUUUUUAAGUGUGUGAGUAAGCUUUGUGUGUGUGUGUGUGUGUGUGUUGGUCUACAUAGGGGUUUAAGGUUAUAGAGUUUUUAUAUAUUCAUUUCUGCCUUGCUUUUUUUUUUAAUUUUUGCAUCUUUUUCAGGUUCAACUUCUUCCUUCGCCUCAAAGAAAAUAGAAAAAAAAAUCGAACUUAGAAUUAAUUUAUUAUCGGAACAAUUAUUGAAACUUCUUAUCUAGAUUUAUUUAUUUAUUUGUUUAUUUAUAACUGCAUAGAUUGAAAUUGAUAUCUAGUUUUUUUUGUUUGUUUGUUUAUUAAUCUAUCAAUGCAAUGACUUAGAUAAAUAUUUGCAUGG